CUGGCGGCGUGCUUAACACAUGCAAGUCGAACGCGAAAGGGACUUCGGUCCUGAGUAAAGUGGCGCACGGGUGAGUAACGCGUAGAUAACCUGUCUUCAUGUCUGGAAUAAUGCGCCGAAAGGGGUACUAAUACCGGAUAUUCUUGCUUUUCAUAAGUUAUGCAAGCAAAGGUGGCCUCUGCAUAUGCUACUGCAUGAAGAGGGGUCUGCGUACCAUUAGCUAGUAGGUGGGGUAAUGGCCUACCUAGGCGACGAUGGUUAGCGGGUCUGAGAGGAUGAUCCGCCACACUGGCACUGGAACACGGGCCAGACUCCUACGGGAGGCAGCAGUGAGGAAUAUUGCGCAAUGGGGGAAACCCUGACGCAGCGACGCCGCGUGAGUGAAGGAAGGCCUUCGGGUCGUAAAGCUCUGUCAAGAGGAAAGAAGUGUACAAUGGCUAAUACCUGUUGUAUUUGACGGUACCUCUAAAGGAAGCACCGGCUAACUCCGUGCCAGCAGCGGC
RNAcentral lists this ribosomal RNA (503 nucleotides) under uncultured bacterium. RNAcentral describes it as "bacterial SSU rRNA". It matches the Rfam family "Bacterial small subunit ribosomal RNA", at positions 36 to 518 of the family's 1533-position model. The record is from RNAcentral.